GACGAACGCUGGCGGCGUGCUUAACACAUGCAAGUCGAACGGAAAGGCUCCAGCUUGCUGGAGUACUCGAGUGGCGAACGGGUGAGUAACACGUGGGUAAUCUGCCCUGCACUCUGGGAUAAGCCUGGGAAACUGGGUCUAAUACUGGAUAUGACCUUUCUCCUUAUGGGGUUUGGUGGAAAGUUUUUCGGUGUAGGAUGAGCCCGCGGCCUAUCAGCUUGUUGGUGGGGUGAUGGCCUACCAAGGCGACGACGGGUAGCCGGCCUGAGAGGGUGAUCGGCCACAUUGGGACUGAGAUACGGCCCAGACUCCUACGGGAGGCAGCAGUGGGGAAUAUUACACAAUGGGCGGAAGCCUGAUGCAGCGACGCCGCGUGAGGGAUGACGGCCUUCGGGUUGUAAACCUCUUUCAGCAGGGACGAAGCGUAAGUGACGGUACCUGCAGAAGAAGCACCGGCUAACUAUGUG
RNAcentral lists this ribosomal RNA (467 nucleotides) under uncultured bacterium. Its description in RNAcentral is "partial 16S ribosomal RNA". It matches the Rfam family "Bacterial small subunit ribosomal RNA", at positions 28 to 507 of the family's 1533-position model. The record is from RNAcentral.